Molecule: ribosomal RNA, 492 nt
Filed under: uncultured bacterium
Lineage: Bacteria
Description: partial 16S ribosomal RNA
Rfam family: Bacterial small subunit ribosomal RNA
Source: RNAcentral
GAUGAACGCUCGCUACAGGCUUAACACAUGCAAGUCGAGGGGAAACGACAUCGAAAGCUUGCUUUUGAUGGGCGUCGACCGGCGCACGGGUGAGUAACGCGUAUCCAACCUGCCCAUCACUUGGGAAUAACCUUGCGAAAGUAAGACUAAUACCCAAUGACAUCCCACGAAGACAUCUGAAUGGGAUUAAAGAUUUAUCGGUGAUGGAUGGGGAUGCGUCUGAUUAGCUUGUUGGCGGGGUAACGGCCCACCAAGGCAACGAUCAGUAGGGGUUCUGAGAGGAAGGUCCCCCACAUUGGAACUGAGACACGGUCCAAACUCCUACGGGAGGCAGCAGUGAGGAAUAUUGGUCAAUGGGCGAGAGCCUGAACCAGCCAAGUAGCGUGCAGGAUGACGGCCCUAUGGGUUGCAAACUGCUUUUAUAAGGGAAUAAAGUGGGUCUCGUGAGACUUUUUGCAUGUACCUGAUGAAUAAGGACCGGCUAAUUCCGUG